Molecule: unclassified non-coding RNA, 675 nt
Filed under: Hevea brasiliensis (rubber tree)
Lineage: Eukaryota; Viridiplantae; Streptophyta; Magnoliopsida; Malpighiales; Euphorbiaceae
Source: RNAcentral
CUCAAAAGAUUGAUCGCAUUAUGGAAAAGUUUGCAGAAAGAUAUUGUGCAGAUAAUCCAGGUCUCUUCAAAAAUGCAGAUACUGCAUAUGUUCUUGCAUAUGCAGUNCAUAAUGUUGAAUACUGAUGCGCAUAAUUCUAUGGUGUGGCCUAAAAUGGCCAAGUUAGAUUUUAUACGUAUCAAUUCCAUGAAUGAUGCUGAAGAUUGUGCCCCAACAGAUCUACUGGAAGAGAUCUAUGACUCCAUUGUUAAAGAAGAGAUAAAAAUGAAAGAUGAUGCAGCUGAUAUUGGGACAAGUAGACAGAAGCCAGAAAGUGAGGAGAGGGGCCGCCUUGUCAAUAUUCUUAAUCUGGCUCUCCCCAAAAGAAAGUCAUCAAUUGAUGCCAAGUCUGAGAGUGAAGCUAUAAUUAAGCAAACACAAGCAAUAUUCCGGAAGCAAGGAACAAGAAGAGGAAUUUUUCAUAUGGUGCAACAGAUUGCCUAUGGUUGAAGCUGUAGGAUGGCCUCUGCUUGCCACUUUCUCUGUAACCAUGGAGGAAGGUGAUAAUAAGCCAAGGGUUAUUCUCUGCAUGGAGGGAUUUAAAGCUGGAAUACACAUUGCACAUGUUCUAGGAAUGGAUACCAUGCGCUAUGCUUUCUUAACAUCUUUGGUCCGAUUUACUUUCUUGCAUGCCCC